This is a long non-coding RNA of Cucurbita pepo subsp. pepo (vegetable marrow), 808 nucleotides long. RefSeq lists it as uncharacterized. The record is from RefSeq and is a predicted model, not a curated record. Lineage: Eukaryota; Viridiplantae; Streptophyta; Magnoliopsida; Cucurbitales; Cucurbitaceae.
GUGGACAUCGACCGGUGCCGAAAUAAGCAAGGAAGAACUUGAAGAGCACUCAUAUUGAUAUGCUUAAUGCUCGUUUUCUGUAAAAUUAUCACCUUCCAACCCUCAUUCAUACAAUACCACCAAUAAGCCAUUGUCUAGAAUCACUUCCUAAGUGCAUAAAAAUGUAUACCUAUGGGGAACAAAGUUUGGAUCAAUAAGACUUGUCUGGAAUCACUCCACCGCUCUCUUCGCCCUCAAAUCUGUCGAGCUCUCUGCAGUCGGCCGCGUUCUCCACAUGUAAAACCCCAAACUCCUCACCUCCGAUCCGGAUUAUGAUCUUUACCCCAUCUUUGAUUUCCUUCUUAAUGAGGUUCAAUGCCCUAGAAUUCUCGUCUCCGACUUGGACCUUCAAUCUCCUCCAUUUUCACCGUGCAUGGAUUGUCGUCGAAAAUGCUGAAAGUUAGUGACGGGGAGCUCACUGCAAGGUUCAUAGAAAUGAAAUUGCAGUCGUUGACGGCUGAUCGUCGAAGAACUGUUAUGGAAAUGAUCCUACAGCUCGAUUGAUAAGACCAGGCCUUCCACACAUAAUGCAGCCCUUGACUAUCUAUAUUGGUUGGAGGGAUUCACAAGAUUGUUUCCAUCACCGGUCAGAACUACAGCUCGAUUGACAAGACCAGGCCUUCCACCAGAUUCAUUUGUUAAUGCAGCCAUUGACUAUCUAAAUUGGUUGUAGGGAUUCACAAGAUUGUUCCCUUCUUGAAUGGGAUCAUCAGUCAGAAUGUUUGCUGUUUAAACAGAGAAUACGUAGAACACACACACUCGACGCUUC